RNAcentral lists this ribosomal RNA (773 nucleotides) under uncultured Neocallimastigales. RNAcentral describes it as "partial large subunit ribosomal RNA". It matches the Rfam family "Eukaryotic large subunit ribosomal RNA", at positions 24 to 635 of the family's 3401-position model. The record is from RNAcentral. Lineage: Eukaryota; Fungi; Neocallimastigomycota; Neocallimastigomycetes; Neocallimastigales.
AUCUCUGUAGAGUCUGCAUAUCAAUAAGCGGAGGAAAAGAAACUAACUAGGAUUCCCUCAGUAACGGCGAGUGAAGCGGGAAGAGCUCAAAUUUGAAAUCUUCAAGGUUUUACCUUGACGAAUUGUAGUUUAAAGAAGUGUUUUCUGUUGGAGUUUUGGUAAAAGUUCUUUGGAAUAGGACAUCAUAGAGGGUGAGAAUCCCGUAUUUGACCAUUACUUUCAACUUUGUGAUACACUUUCAAAGAGUCGGAUUGUUUGGGAAUGCAGUCCAAAAUGGGUGGUAAAUUUCAUCUAAAGCUAAAUACUGGCGAGAGACCGAUAGCGAACAAGUACCGUGAGGGAAAGAUGAAAAGAACUUUGAAAAGAGAGUUAAACAGUACGUGAAAUUGUCAAGAGGGAAGCGUUUGACACCAGUGUUGUUUUUCUGAAAAUCAAUUAAAGAACUGUUUAUGCUAAGUUGUUUAGACUUUAUCAGCUAUCUGUUUAGUUUUGAGCUUUUCUUUAAUGCACUUUUCAGUUAACAAGUCAACAUCAAUUUCUUUUGCUGUAAAAAAGCUUGAGGAAGGUGGCUUGAGAUUCGUCUUAAGUGAUUAUAGCCUCUUGCCUAUGCAGUCGGAGAGAUUGAGGUCUGCAGCGUAGAUCCUUCGGGGUUAGAUACAUUUGUGCUAAGUUAUAGCCUUUCAUAGACAACUUGUUGACUAUGAUCAGUCAUGUAGCUUACUCGCUUAUGCUAUUUUACCUACGCUUAGGAUGUUGACGAUCAGCUGAGCGCG